Octopus bimaculoides (California two-spot octopus) is the source of this 1790-nucleotide long non-coding RNA. RefSeq lists it as uncharacterized. Lineage: Eukaryota; Metazoa; Mollusca; Cephalopoda; Octopoda; Octopodidae. The record is from RefSeq and is a predicted model, not a curated record.
UAUAAACAUUGCAAAUGAGAGCAGACCUGGUCUUUAAAGACAUCAGGUGAAAGCAAAGGACAUUCUUUCAGUUUCCUUAGGCCAACUUAUGGCAAGACUAAGGGUGAGCAACAGGUCUAAUUGGAGUUACUUCCCCACCCUGUUUUUUUUUUUAAAUAUGCUUAGUUUUUAUCUAUUAAUUGCAUGAAUAAUCUUAGUUAAAGAUUUUCAACAGGUUUGUUAAGAUUGUUUGUUAAGAGCUAGUUUUAAAGAAUUAUACAGUUUAGUUAUAUAUACCAAAUGCACAGGUAUGUUUCACUUUAGUAUCCAUUUUAUUAUUACAUCGAUGCAAAACAUUUUUUAUAAGACGAAAAGCGAGAUCGUUUGGUGCUCAUGCAUUCACCCUCAAUUACUACGAUUGGUUAUCAAAAAUUGGUCAUAGACUUAAUUGCAAUGAGUUAGCUUGUGCUAACCUGUAUCCACCCCUUAUUUCACCACAAUAUCACGUGUUGUUGCGUUAGAACUAUAAUUUAUCGAUUUCUUUUCCCAGCACAGUAAACACGUCAUCUAGGUGACAUCGCAACAGCAGGUCAACUGAUACAGUCUUUUCUUUAGAAUGCCUUGUACAAACAGAGACAGCCAACAAAUUUGUUUAUAUUUCGUAUCUGUCACAGUGGUUAUUUAUUGUAACAGGCUACUGCUAAUCUAUAAAAUAAAUAGUUAUAGGCGCACAGUAUAUAUAAAUAUAUAUUUAAAAUUCUUUAAGAUCUAAUCUGCAAUAUAUUGUCAGGAGAAAAAAAAUUUUGAACUUAUGCUGAAAAGACAUUAAACAUGUGAGUCAUUACAGUAGCACUGAAGUGAAUAAUAAAUUGUUACAUAUUUAGAAGCAAGCUUUUUGGAUAUCCGGACUUCUUCGGUUGUUGAAGAAUUUCUACUUUUCCUCUACUUGGGUUAUGAACCUAGCUCCUAUUGCUCCCUGCAAAGCUGCGGUCAUGCUGGAGCACCAACGUUGGCUGAGCCACACCAUUAUUUGUAAGCUCCUCUGAUAUGUGGCAUUUGGUCAAUGCCGGAGUUUGAUGCUACUGCCCCCAACUGUGUUUCCUGCCGUGAGGCAGGCUUGACUGGAGCCCUUAACAGGAAGAGAUCCAGUUUUGUUUUAAAGACACUUACAGCCACACCAUGCAGGUCUCUCAGGCAUUUUGGAAAUAUAUUAAAGAGCUGUGGGCCCCUGAAGCCCAAGCUGUGGCAGUAUCUGGCCCUGUAUUUUGAUGGUGAUGCUGGGAUCUUUGGUUCUAUGCAGUGGUGCCCCAUUCUGCAGUUUCAGUAACUUUCAAUGCUAAAGUUGUGUACAUUACUGUAUAUCUCUCCCUCCUUCAUUCCAGAGAGAAGAGUUUUAAUUCUUUCAGUCUUUCAGUUGCUGAUACGUUGUUCUUUCAGUAGCUGAUACAUUGCAUCGAGACGAUUUUCAAAGUGUAGCUUCGUUGGAUUGCUUCGAGUUCUGCUGUGGAUUUUUUUAUUGUGUGGUGACCAGAGUCUGGAGCAAUAGUCUAAGAAGAUGAGAACGUAUGUCCUCCAAUGGAUCAUCAAUCUUUCCUUUUCUUUUGUUUCCUUCAAAAUUCCUACACGCUCGAAAUGUACAUACAUCAAGGUGUAUUUGUAGAAAAUUUCACGAAAAAAUAUUCAUUUUCCUGGAAGUUAAGAGGAAUUUAAGUGGAAUUUCCGAAAAUUGUCCCCGACCCCUCUCAAAACACUUUCACCGAAAAUUUUUGUAUAUUUGGAAUCUACAUAAUAAAUAAUAUAUGCAUAGGAAA